GUGCUCGCUACAGCAGCAUAUAUACUAAAAUUGGAAUGAUACAGAGAUUAGCAUGGCCCUUGUGCAAGGAUGACAUGCAAAUUCAUGAAGCAUUCCAUAUUUUG
Dipodomys ordii (Ord's kangaroo rat) is the source of this 104-nucleotide small nuclear RNA. Lineage: Eukaryota; Metazoa; Chordata; Mammalia; Rodentia; Heteromyidae. The record is from Ensembl.